GACGAACGCUGGCGGCGUGCCUAAUACAUGCAAGUAGAACGCUGAAGGAGGAGCUUGCUCUUCUGGAUGAGUUGCGAACGGGUGAGUAACGCGUAGGUAACCUGCCUGGUAGCGGGGGAUAACUAUUGGAAACGAUAGCUAAUACCGCAUAACAGUAGAUGUUGCAUGACAUUUGCUUAAAAGGUGCAAUUGCACCACUACCAGAUGGACCUGCGUUGUAUUAGCUAGUUGGUGGGGUAACGGCUCACCAAGGCGACGAUACAUAGCCGACCUGAGAGGGUGAUCGGCCAAACUGGGACUUAGACACGGCCCAGACUCCUUAGGGGAGCAGCAGUAGGGGAUCAUCGGAAAUGGACGGAAGUCUGGACGAAGCAAGCCGGGGGGGUGGAGGAAGUUUUCGGGUCGGAAAGCUCUGUUGUAAGGGAAGAACGAGUGUGAGAGUAAAAAGUUCACGCUGUGACGGUAUCUUACCAGAAAGGGACGGCUAACUACGUG
RNAcentral lists this ribosomal RNA (495 nucleotides) under uncultured bacterium. RNAcentral describes it as "partial 16S ribosomal RNA". It matches the Rfam family "Bacterial small subunit ribosomal RNA", at positions 28 to 507 of the family's 1533-position model. The record is from RNAcentral.